This 384-nucleotide ribosomal RNA is filed under the name Brachyura sp. SK:Zoea10. Its description in RNAcentral is "partial 12S ribosomal RNA". Lineage: Eukaryota; Metazoa; Arthropoda; Malacostraca; Decapoda. The record is from RNAcentral.
UAGAUACCCUAUUAUACUAAGGUUAUAUAUGGAAUACUGGAAUAUUAAUAGUUAUGUUCUUUAAAUUUAAAGAAGUUGGCGGUAAUUUAGUCUUUUUAGAGGAAUCUGUUCUUAGUCGAUAAACCACGAAGGAUCUUACUUGAGUAUUUAAAGCUUGUAUACCGUCAUUAUUAGAUGAUUUUGAUAAAAUUAAUUGUUGAUUUUAAUUUCUUGAUUAAAAAAAUUAGAUCAAGGUGCAGCAAUAAGCAAGUAAAAAUGGAUUACAAUAAAUAUUUAUUUAUAUGGAUUAAUUUAUGUAAAGGAGUUAUGAAAGAGGAUUUAAUUGUAUUACGGGUUUAAUAAGACUGUAAGAUAUAGGCUCUAAAUUAUGUACAUAUCGCCCGU